CUACGGUGAAUACGUUCCCGGACCUUGUACACACCGCCCGUCAAGCCAUGGAAGCUGGGUGUACCUAAAGUCGGUAACCGCAAGGAGCCGCCUAGGGUAAACUAGUAACUGGGCU
RNAcentral lists this ribosomal RNA (115 nucleotides) under uncultured bacterium. Its description in RNAcentral is "partial 16S ribosomal RNA". It matches the Rfam family "Bacterial small subunit ribosomal RNA", at positions 1357 to 1482 of the family's 1533-position model. The record is from RNAcentral.